Molecule: signal recognition particle RNA, 287 nt
Filed under: Saimiri boliviensis boliviensis (Bolivian squirrel monkey)
Lineage: Eukaryota; Metazoa; Chordata; Mammalia; Primates; Cebidae
Description: Metazoan signal recognition particle RNA (ENSSBOG00000012664.1)
Rfam family: Metazoan signal recognition particle RNA
About the family: The signal recognition particle (SRP) is a universally conserved ribonucleoprotein. It is involved in the co-translational targeting of proteins to membranes.
Source: RNAcentral
ACAGGGUGCAGUACCAUGUGCCCAUAGUCCCAGCUACUCCUACUCAGGAGGCUGAGGUGGGAGGAUUGCUUGAGCCGAGGAGUUCUGGGCUGUUGUGUGCUAUGCCAAUCGGGUGUUCGCUCUAAGUUCGGCAUCAAUAUGGUGACCUCCUGGGAACGGGGGAGUACCAGGUUGCCUAAGGAGGAGUGAAUCGGCCCAGGUAGGAAAUGGAGCAGGUCAAUAGUGGGAUCAUGCCUGUGAAUAGCCACUGCACUCCAGCCUGUGCAAUAUUGCAAGACCCCAUCUCU